UACAGAGGGUGCAAGCGUUGUUCGGAAUUAUUGGGCGUAAAGCGCGUGUAGGCGGCAGUGCAAGUCGGGUGUGAAAGCCCUCGGCUCAACCGAGGAAGUGCGCUCGAAACUGCAUUGCUUGAGUACCGGAGAGGAUGGCGGAAUUCCCGAAGUAGAGGCGAAAUUCGUAGAUAUGGGGAGGAACACCGGUGGCGAAGGCGGCCAUCUGGACGGAUACUGACGCUGAGACGCGAAAGCGUGGGUAGCAAACAGG
This 253-nucleotide ribosomal RNA is filed under the name uncultured bacterium. RNAcentral's name for it is "partial 16S ribosomal RNA". It matches the Rfam family "Bacterial small subunit ribosomal RNA", at positions 524 to 776 of the family's 1533-position model. The record is from RNAcentral.